AGAAUGUUCUGGACAUAUUUAAAAAUGGCUACUUUCUCCCUCCCUGUGUCAGAAGCAUGAAGAGAUUUUCUUCCUACACUCACGAUGAGAACCUGGUGGAGCUCCUAAAGAUUGGCUCUCCUGAUGGUUGCACGAUGGCUGCAGCAGUUCCAGAUGUCCCAUCGAGACACAAAAAGAUCCCAGAUGGAAGAUGCCAUCUCCUCCUAUGUGCCUCUUUUUAAGAGUUACACAGGAGUGAGGAGGACCACCAAACCAAACUAAGACUCGGAGGAAAAAAAAAAAAGAAAAAGAAGAAAAUGUCUGCUAGGUGCCAUGCCACUCAAACAGCCAAUGGAAAGGCCCACGUGGCGAGAGCUAAGGCUUCCUGCCAACAGGCAAGUGAGGAAGCCCAGUCAGCUGCCUGCAGUCCUGACCCAUGAAGAGCCUGACUGAAAGUGAAUGAGCAACCCUGAGCUAGGACAACCCAGCAAGGCCCAUCCUGAAUUCCUGCCCACAAAAACUCUGAGACAGUAAAUGUUCGUUGUUUUAAACCACAAAGUUUUGAAGUAAUAGAUUAAUUAGGUAACCAAUUGGGACUGCAGUAUUCCUUCAGGGAACUUGAAUAGUCAUUCUGUAUAUGGAAAUUGUACACAUCUUAAAAUUGCUGGACUAAAGUGAGAAGAGACUGUCUUGAGUCAACUGGAUAAAGUGGAAAAAAAAUUAAUUUGGAAAUCAAUAGAAUUCUGGCCUUGGCUUUGUCACUAAGAAACACUUAUAAGUAAUUUCACUUCUCUUGAAAUUAUGAUCAUUAUCUAUAACAUAAAGGAACUGAGCUAAAUGUUAUCUGAUGCCUCUUUAGGCUCUCAAACUCCAUAGAUUUAUGACAUGCUUGAAAUUCACUUUGUUUCACCCUAAUUCAGAGCUUUGUUUCACUAGCUCUAGAAUUAGAUGCCUUGGGUUUAAAUUGCAAUUCAGUCACUUAUUUAAAUAAUUGUACUUGGAUGAGUGAUGUUGCCAUUUUAAGCCUCAGUUUCCCCAUAGAUUCAUUGAGAAGAUCAAAUAAGAUGAUGCAGAUAAAGCUCUUAGUUUGUGGGGACACUUAGUAAGUGCUUAAUAAAUACAGGCAGUUGUGUUAUCUAUGUUGUAGCAGCACAUUUUGUAAAAUAAAACAAAGUUGAAAUCACA
This 1164-nucleotide long non-coding RNA is filed under the name Homo sapiens (human). RNAcentral's name for it is "long intergenic non-protein coding RNA 2266". The record is from RNAcentral. Lineage: Eukaryota; Metazoa; Chordata; Mammalia; Primates; Hominidae.